AGGAUGAACGCUAGCGAUAGGCUUAACACAUGCAAGUCGAGGGGCAUCACGAGGUAGCAAUACUUUGGUGGCGACCGGCGUACGGGUGCGUAACACGUAUGCAACCUUCCUGUAAGUGUGGGAUAGCCUCCUGAAAGGGAGAUUAAUACCUCAUGAUAUGUAUUUGCUGCAUGGCAUUUACAUUAAACAUUUAUGGCUUACAGAUGGGCAUGCGUUCCAUUAGGCAGUUGGUGUGGUAACGGCUCACCAAACCUACGAUGGAUAGGGGUUCUGAGAGGAAGGUCCCCCACACUGGAACUGAGACACGGUCCAGACUCCUACGGGAGGCAGCAGUGAGGAAUAUUGGUCAAUGGGCGCGAGCCUGAACCAGCCACGUCGCGUGAAGGAUGACGGCCUUAUGGGUUGUAAACUUCUUUUACAGGGGAAUAAAGUGAGUCACGUGUGAUUUUUUGCAUGUACCCUGUGAAUAAGCAUCGGCUAACUCCGU
RNAcentral lists this ribosomal RNA (487 nucleotides) under uncultured bacterium. RNAcentral's name for it is "bacterial SSU rRNA". It matches the Rfam family "Bacterial small subunit ribosomal RNA", at positions 26 to 506 of the family's 1533-position model. The record is from RNAcentral.